RNAcentral lists this ribosomal RNA (429 nucleotides) under bacterium. RNAcentral's name for it is "partial 16S ribosomal RNA". It matches the Rfam family "Bacterial small subunit ribosomal RNA", at positions 355 to 776 of the family's 1533-position model. The record is from RNAcentral.
UAGGGAAUCUUCGGCAAUGGGGGCAACCCUGACCGAGCAACGCCGCGUGAGUGAAGAAGGUUUUCGGAUCGUAAAGCUCUGUUGUAAGAGAAGAACGUGUGUGAGAGUGGAAAGUUCACACAGUGACGGUAACUUACCAGAAAGGGACGGCUAACUACGUGCCAGCAGCCGCGGCAAUACGUAGGUCCCGAGCGUUGUCCGGAUUUAUUGGGCGUAAAGCGAGCGCAGGCGGUUUAAUAAGUCUGAAGUUAAAGGCAGUGGCUUAACCAUUGUUCGCUUUGGAAACUGUUAAACUUGAGUGCAGAAGGGGAGAGUGGAAUUCCAUGUGUCGCGGUGAAAUGCGUAGAUAUAUGGAGGAACACCGGUGGCGAAAGCGGCUCUCUGGUCUGUAACUGACGCUGAGGCUCGAAAGCGUGGGGAGCAAACAGG